AGAACGAACGCUGGCGGCAUGCCUAACACAUGCAAGUCGAACGAGACCUUCGGGUCUAGUGGCGCACGGGUGCGUAACGCGUGGGAAUCUGCCCUUAGGUUCGGAAUAACUCAGAGAAAUUUGAGCUAAUACCGGAUGAUGACGUAAGUCCAAAGAUUUAUCGCCUAGGGAUGAGCCCGCGUAGGAUUAGGUAGUUGGUGGGGUAAAGGCUCACCAAGCCGACGAUCCUUAGCUGGUCUGAGAGGAUGAUCAGCCACACUGGGACUGAGACACGGCCCAGACUCCUACGGGAGGCAGCWGUGGGGAAUAUUGGACAAUGGGCGAAAGCCUGAUCCAGCAAUGCCGCGUGAGUGAUGAAGGCCUUAGGGUUGUAAAGCUCUUUUACCCGGGAUGAUAAUGAC
RNAcentral lists this ribosomal RNA (401 nucleotides) under Sphingomonas sp. RNAcentral's name for it is "bacterial SSU rRNA". It matches the Rfam family "Bacterial small subunit ribosomal RNA", at positions 26 to 455 of the family's 1533-position model. The record is from RNAcentral. Lineage: Bacteria; Pseudomonadati; Pseudomonadota; Alphaproteobacteria; Sphingomonadales; Sphingomonadaceae.